CUUGCUUCUCUGAUGUUAGCGGCGGACGGGCGAGUAACACGUGGGUAACCUACCUAUAAGACUGGGAUAACUCCGGGAAACCGGGGCUAAUACCGGAUAAUAUUUUGAACCGCAUGGUUCAAUAUUGAAAGACGGUUUCCGCUGUCACUUAUAAAUGGACCCUCGCCGCAUUAGCUAGUUGGUAAGGUAACGGCUUACCAAGGCGACGAUACGUAGCCGACCUGAGAGGGUGAUCGGCCACACUGGAACUGACACACGGUCCAGACUCCUACGGGAGGCAGCAGUAGGGAAUCUUCCGCAAUGGACGAAAGCCUGACGGAGCAACGCCGCGUGAGUGAUGAAGGUCUUCGGAUCGUAAAACUCUGUUGUUAGGGAAGAACAAAUUUGUUAGUAACUGAACAAGUCUUGACGGUACCUAACCAGAAAUCCACGGCUAACUACGUGCCAGCAGCCGCGGUACUACGUUGGUGGCAAGCGUUAUCCGGAAUUAUUGGGCGUAAAGCGCGCGUAGGCGUUUUCUUAAGUCUGAUGUGAAAGCCCACGGCUCAACCGUGGAGGGUCAUUGGAAACUGGGAAACUUGAGUGCAGAACAGGAGAGUGGAAUUCCAUGUGUAGCGGUGAAAUGCGCAGAGAUU
Molecule: ribosomal RNA, 635 nt
Filed under: Mammaliicoccus sciuri
Lineage: Bacteria; Bacillati; Bacillota; Bacilli; Caryophanales; Staphylococcaceae
Description: bacterial SSU rRNA
Rfam family: Bacterial small subunit ribosomal RNA
Source: RNAcentral